RNAcentral lists this small nuclear RNA (333 nucleotides) under Nannospalax galili (Upper Galilee mountains blind mole rat). RNAcentral's name for it is "7SK RNA (ENSNGAG00000002466.1)". It matches the Rfam family "7SK RNA". From Rfam's summary of the family: 7SK was discovered as an abundant small nuclear RNA in the mid-70s but a possible function has only recently been suggested. The record is from Rfam by way of RNAcentral. Lineage: Eukaryota; Metazoa; Chordata; Mammalia; Rodentia; Spalacidae.
GUGAGGGUGAUCUGGCUUUGAUACCUGUCACCACACAGAUGGCCAAGCCAGGGUUCAUUUGGUGGAUCUGGCUGGCUGGGCAGGUGUCCUCCUCCUCCUCCUCCUUCAACACUUCCUCUGUGUCCCUCCUGAAGUUGCUCACUCUUUGCUCACUCUAUUGAAGACGACCUUCCCAAUAGAGGACUGGUGUUCACUCAAGGGUAUAUGAGUGGAUACACUCCCCAGCUACAACCUUCAAACAAGCUCUCAAAAUAAAUCAUUGCACAUGAAAAAACCAUUGACCAGCUCAUUAACAGAAAUUUUCAUAAUCCAAAAGAAGGAAAUUCUGAAAAU